Phytophthora infestans T30-4 is the source of this 72-nucleotide transfer RNA. It matches the Rfam family "tRNA". Rfam says of the family: Transfer RNA (tRNA) molecules are approximately 80 nucleotides in length. NCBI's taxonomy places the organism in Eukaryota, Oomycota, Peronosporomycetes, Peronosporales, Peronosporaceae. The record is from Rfam.
GGGCGCAUAGCGCAGUGGUAGCGCGUCCGCUUUGGCCCCGGAAGGCGAACGGUUCAAUCCCCGGUGUGUCCA